This 425-nucleotide ribosomal RNA is filed under the name uncultured Lachnospiraceae bacterium. RNAcentral describes it as "bacterial SSU rRNA". It matches the Rfam family "Bacterial small subunit ribosomal RNA", at positions 354 to 796 of the family's 1533-position model. Lineage: Bacteria; Bacillati; Bacillota; Clostridia; Lachnospirales; Lachnospiraceae. The record is from RNAcentral.
GUGGGGAAUAUUGCACAAUGGGGGAAACCCUGAUGCAGCGACGCCGCGUGAGUGAAGAAGUAUUUCGGUAUGUAAAGCUCUAUCAGCAGGGAAGAGAAUGACGGUACCUGAGUAAGAAGCCCCGGCUAACUACGUGCCAGCAGCCGCGGUAAUACGUAGGGGGCAAGCGUUAUCCGGAUUUACUGGGUGUAAAGGGAGCGUAGACGGCGAAGAAAGUCUGAAGUGAAAGCCCGCGGCUCAACCGCGGAACUGCUUUGGAAACUUUUUUGCUGGAGUACCGGAGAGGUAAGCGGAAUUCCUAGUGUAGCGGUGAAAUGCGUAGAUAUUAGGAGGAACACCAGUGGCGAAGGCGGCUUACUGGACGGUAACUGACGUUGAGGCUCGAAAGCGUGGGGAGCAAACAGGAUUAGAAACCCUAGUAGUCC